Molecule: transfer RNA, 57 nt
Filed under: Tetraselmis striata
Lineage: Eukaryota; Viridiplantae; Chlorophyta; Chlorodendrophyceae; Chlorodendrales; Chlorodendraceae
Description: partial tRNA
Source: RNAcentral
UCGGUUAAAAUGGCAGGCUUUGAGCCAUGAGACCAUGGUUCGAUCCCUCCUAGUGCC